UAACACGGGGGGUGCAAGCGUUAUUCGGAAUUAUUGGGCGUAAAGGGCGCGUAGGCGGUUUUGUCAGUCAGAUGUGAAAGCCCGGGGCUCAACCCCGGAAGAGCAUUUGAAACAGCAAUACUUGAGUACGGGAGAGGAAAGCGGAAUUCCUGGUGUAGAGGUGAAAUUCGUAGAUAUCAGGAGGAACACCGAUGGCGAAGGCAGCUUUCUGGACCGAUACUGACGCUGAGGCGCGAAGGCGUGGGUAGCGAACAGGAUUAGAUACCCUGGUAGUCCACGCAGUAAACGAUGUUAACUAGGUGGUGGGGAUAUUAAAAUUUUCACUGCCGGAGCUAACGCAUUAAGUUAACCGCCUGGGGAGUACGGUCGCAAGACUA
Molecule: ribosomal RNA, 377 nt
Filed under: uncultured delta proteobacterium
Lineage: Bacteria; Deltaproteobacteria
Description: bacterial SSU rRNA
Rfam family: Bacterial small subunit ribosomal RNA
Source: RNAcentral